This 253-nucleotide ribosomal RNA is filed under the name uncultured prokaryote. RNAcentral's name for it is "partial 16S ribosomal RNA". It matches the Rfam family "Bacterial small subunit ribosomal RNA", at positions 525 to 777 of the family's 1533-position model. The record is from RNAcentral.
ACAGAGGGUGCGAGCGUUAAUCGGAAUUACUGGGCGUAAAGCGCACGUAGGUGGCUUUGCAAGUCGAUUGUGAAAUCCACGGGCUUAACCUGGGAACUGCAGUCGAGACUGCUUUGCUUGAGUAUGGGAGAGGGAGGUGGAAUUUCCGGUGUAGCGGUGAAAUGCGUAGAUAUCGGAAGGAACAUCAGUGGCGAAGGCGGGUCUCUGGGCAGUAACUGACGCUGAGGAGCGAAAGCGUGGGGAGCGAACAGGA